RNAcentral lists this long non-coding RNA (1303 nucleotides) under Numida meleagris (helmeted guineafowl). RNAcentral describes it as "lncRNA (ENSNMEG00000007778.1)". The record is from RNAcentral. Lineage: Eukaryota; Metazoa; Chordata; Aves; Galliformes; Numididae.
AUGGGAGACCGAGAAGGAAUGUUUUGUGGACCGGGGAUAUUUAAGCAGUCGGGGAGGAAACCAAAAAAUGUACUCUCCGUCCUCACUGCUGUGGAGGUCUCCAGCCCAGCGCAGGAUCCUCGCUGUCGGCCUCCGCGGGGAUUGCUCUUUGCACAGGCGAGACACGUCGGGAUGCCGGGGUCUCCCCGGGUCUCAGCCUUCGGCGACGGUACGAGGCAGAAAGGAAAGGAUCUCGGUACGGCGAGUUUGUUCCUAGGGGUUAACAGUAUGUCAAAUAAUUUUAACUGGGUUUCUGGCAAUUAAACCCGGAGUAUUUGUCGAAGCGGGGCAGCCCUACAUCCACCGGUUUUCCGAGCAUUUAGUAGCGGUGCGGAGGCGAAGAGAUCAGCAAACACUUUUUAGCCCAGCGCACUGCAAUUUAAAGGGCUUUCUGGCGUGGCAAAUAGGCAGGCGAUGGUUCGGGCUGGGGGGUGGUGGUGAGGAAAGCGAACCUGCGUUCAGGGAAUCCAAUAUUGCUAAGUACCUCUGGCGAGGCUUGGCUGGAGCCGCACGGGGUAUUUGAGGUUAAUAUGUAAGGGAGGGAAGGAAGACACUAAGCGCUUCGGAAGUGAACAUGAAUGCAAGCAUGUAAUCUAUUCACCAUGAAAAUCAGUGCAGACUUGACCCUGGCACAUUCUUGCUAGGAAGGUUUCCAGCAAAACCCUGCAGAGCGAGGGGGCUUUAAAUAUAUAUAUAAGUUGUUUUUUUUUUUUUUUUUGGGGGGGGGGAGGGGGUGAACCUCAAGACUCGAUCAAGGCAAAUGUAAAAAAAAAAAGGGGAAAAAAAAAGGUGGGGGAAGACGUCAACCCUAAACUGACCGCUUUCCCAAGGAGCGCUUCCUGCUAGGAAGCAGCUUUCUAGAAGGAAUCGUUGCUUAAUUUCUCUUGCUCCCUUCCUUUUGGAGCCUGCCAGCGAGCCGCCACACACCCCAGCAAGCGAACAAACAAACAGAGAGCUCUCACCUAGCCCUGGGGGCAUUGCUAAGUGCUGCAGAGCCAGGGGGUGCGAGGGGCCGGGCGCUAAGUGUGGGGCAGUGCCGCGCGGUGCCUUUGUGUCCUGCACUGUACCGGGGCCAACCUGCGCGGUGCUGCGCGGUGCUGCGCUGGGCUGGGCUGGGCUGGGCGGGCGGCGGGGGCGGGCGGCGCGGGGCCGCGCGGUGCGGGCGCGGGUGCGGGUGCGGGGCCGUGCGGUGCGGGGCCGCGCCGCGCCGAUCUGUUGCUUCCCCCGAGAUGGCUACAAAGAGGCGCGGGCCCGCAGCCGCCGC